AUGGCCAGCCUUGCUGAAGACCAGAAGCCAUGGCAUCCUGGCGGAGUCCGCUGUCCGUGGCGGGGAUGCCCAGCCAGCUGGCGAGCCCCUCUCCGCUGUGUCUCACCACUCCCCUCCCCGCCAGGGCAGUGCACCUGCUGCGGGGGAGCCCGCUCUUCCUCAAUGGCUGCCCUGUGGGCAGGGAGCCUGCGACCUGAGCCGUUGUCUGCUGAUCCCGGCAGUGGGUCAGCCUCCACCAGGCACCCCAGGAACCAGGCCCUUUGCAGCCCCCGCACCGGGCAGACCCCUCUCCGGGAAUUCACAGCGCCCACGGCGGCCCCUCCACACCUGCCUUCGCUGCCAGCCAGGUCCCAGGCAGGCAGUGCUCCGGCUGGGGGCCGCCCGGCUUGUGUGCAGCGCUCCAGUCGGGAGGGCCGCCUGCAGUGGGCAGCGCCGGUUUCCAGAACGUUCUUCUGCCUGUGUGGACUCCCAGCCUGUCCUCCUGGGUCUCCCUGGGGCACAGUUUCCUCUCCAACUCAGGGAGGAGGCCCCUGGGGAGCAGAAGGCCACGCAGGCGCCCACUGGGCCGACAGCCCCUCUCAGCUGUGGGGGCACCCGCAAGAGCCACCACCUCCAGGCCACAGGGGCGCGCCGGCCACUGCUACCUCCUCUCAGACCCCUGCUGGUCCUGGCUCCGAGAACGAGGCCCUCACACUUCUGCCUCCCGCCCCUCACUGCUCAGAGGCCAAGCGGCUGGGGGAUGACCAAGUGCAGCCCAAGUUCACACCCACGUGUGUGCACACCGUGGUGCACUCGUACUGCACACACACAGUGCACACAACCGCACACGGUGGACACCUUCUAUACACACAGUGCACACAGAGACACCCAUGGUGCACACGUACUACACACACACAUACAUACACCAUACACACACCAAAACCACAACCCCUCACCCACCCACAAACACACACGGUGCAAACACAUCAUACAGUGCACACACAUGCACGCCCACAGGUGUGUACACACCACACGUACACCCACAUGUAUACUGCACACUCAUCAGACGCAUAA
This 1053-nucleotide long non-coding RNA is filed under the name Oryctolagus cuniculus (rabbit). RNAcentral describes it as "lncRNA (ENSOCUG00000035209.1)". The record is from RNAcentral. Lineage: Eukaryota; Metazoa; Chordata; Mammalia; Lagomorpha; Leporidae.